GAUCCAGCAACGCCGCGUGGAGGGACGAAGGGUCUUCGGAUCGUAAACUCCUGUCAGGCGGGACGAAGGCUUCCGGGCGAACAGUCCGGAAGCUUGACGGUACUGCCAGACGGAAGCCCCCGGCUAACUCCGUGCCAGCAGCCGCGGUAAUACGGAGGGGGCUAGCGUUAUUCGGAAUUAUUGGGCGUAAAGGGCGCGUAGGCGGCCCGGUAAGUCAAAAGGUGAAAAUCCCUCGGCUCAACUGAGGGAACUGCCUUUGAAAACUGUACGGGCUUGUGGCCGGGAGGGGGUAGCGGAAUUCCCAGUGUAGCGGUGAAAUGCGUAGAUAUUGGGAGGAACACCGGUGGCGAAGGCGGCUACCUGGACCGGUUCUGACGCUGAUGCGCGAAAGCGUGGGUAGCAAACAGGAUUAGAUACCCUGGUAGUCCACGCUGUAAACGAUGAGUGCUCGGUGUCGCGGGUAUCGACCCCCUGCGGUGCCUUAGCUAACGCGUUAAGCACUCCGCCUGGGGAGUACGGUCGCAAGGCUG
Molecule: ribosomal RNA, 530 nt
Filed under: uncultured Acidobacteriota bacterium
Lineage: Bacteria; Pseudomonadati; Acidobacteriota
Description: bacterial SSU rRNA
Rfam family: Bacterial small subunit ribosomal RNA
Source: RNAcentral